Molecule: unclassified non-coding RNA, 246 nt
Filed under: uncultured fungus
Lineage: Eukaryota; Fungi
Description: partial contains 5.8S ribosomal RNA, internal transcribed spacer 2, and large subunit ribosomal RNA
Rfam family: 5.8S ribosomal RNA (bases 1-52)
Source: RNAcentral
AACGCACAUUGCGCCCCCUGGUAUUCCGGGGGGCAUGCCUGUCCGAGCGUCAUUUCUCCCCUCCAGCCCCGCUGGUUGUUGGGCCGCGCCCCCCCGGGGGCGGGCCUCGAGAGAAACGGCGGCACCGUCCGGUCCUCGAGCGUAUGGGGCUCUGUCACCCGCUCUAUGGGCCCGGCCGGGGCUUGCCUCGACCCCCAAUCUUCUCAGAUUGACCUCGGAUCAGGUAGGGAUACCCGCUGAACUUAA